UACGGGGGGAGCAAGCGUUGUUCGGAUUUACUGGGCGUAAAGGGCGCGUAGGCGGCCAGCACAAGUCAGUUGUGAAAUCUCCGAGCUUAACUCGGAAAGGUCAACUGAUACUGUGCGGCUGGAGUGCGGAAGGGGCAACUGGAAUUCUUGGUGUAGCGGUGAAAUGCGUAGAUAUCAAGAGGAACACCUGCGGCGAAGGCGGGUUGCUGGGCCGACACUGACGCUGAGGCGCGAAAGCCAGGGGAGCGAACGGG
This 254-nucleotide ribosomal RNA is filed under the name uncultured bacterium. RNAcentral describes it as "partial 16S ribosomal RNA". It matches the Rfam family "Bacterial small subunit ribosomal RNA", at positions 524 to 776 of the family's 1533-position model. The record is from RNAcentral.